UACAGAGGUCUCAAGCGUUGUUCGGAUUCAUUGGGCGUAAAGGGUGCGUAGGUGGUUAGGUAAGUCGGAUGUGAAAUCCCGGGGCUCAACCUCGGAACUGCAUUCGAUACUGCUUGACUAGAGUACUGGAGAGGAGAUUGGAAUUUACGGUGUAGCAGUGAAAUGCGUAGAUAUCGUAAGGAAGACCAGCGGCGAAGGCGGAUCUCUGGACAGUUACUGACACUGAGGCACGAAGGCCAGGGGAGCAAACGGG
RNAcentral lists this ribosomal RNA (253 nucleotides) under uncultured bacterium. Its description in RNAcentral is "partial 16S ribosomal RNA". It matches the Rfam family "Bacterial small subunit ribosomal RNA", at positions 524 to 776 of the family's 1533-position model. The record is from RNAcentral.